GGGGACAUCAGGUAGAGAGACUCAUUCAGACCUGGGGACAUCAGGUAGAGAGACUCAUUCAGACCUGGGGACAUCAGGUAGGAAGAGAAAGCAGAAAUGUUUUGGCCCUCAGGACCUGAAUAAUACUUUGACAUUGAAACACAACAGCUAUACAUAACUAGGUGAAAGCAGACCUGACGCAACACACACACACACACAAUAAGCACACGCACACACACACACACACACACACACACACAAUAAGCACACUGUGGUAAGACUGUUUUGGGUUGCAUUUUGUCUGCAUUUAGCCAAUCUGUAACAAUCAGAAGAAUAAAAUACACAUCCAAACAUCUUGACCUUUCAACAAACAGCAAGAUGGAAAUGAACCUUGUGAAGGAAACAGCAACAUAAAGUGUUUUAAUAGGAGGUAACUGGCAGAAUAAAGGAAACUCCAGGUCCUCCACCAACCACCAGGUAACUGGCAGAAUAAAGGAAACUCCAACAGUGUUUUAAUAGGAGGUCGGGUCGUCCACCAGGUAACUGGCAGAAUAAAGGAAACACCAACAGUGUUUUAAUAGGAGGUCGGGUCAUCCACCAGGUAACUGGCAGAAUAAAGGAAACUCCAACAGUGUUUUAAUAGGAGGUCGGGUCGUCCACCAGGUAACUGGCAGAAUAAAGGAAACUCCAGGUCCACCAACCACCAGGUAACUGGCAGAAUAAAGGAAACUCCAACAUAGUGUUUUAAUAGGAGGUCGGGUCGUCCACCAGGUAACUGGCAGAAUAAAGGAAACUCCAACAUAGUGUUUUAAUAGGAGGUCGGGUCGUCCACCAGGUAACUGGCAGAAUAAAGGAAACUCCAACAGUGUUUUAAUAAGAGGUCGGGUCGUCCACCAGGUAACUGGCAGAAUAAAGGAAACUCCAACAGUGUUUUAAUAAGAGGUCGGGUCGUCCACCAG
RNAcentral lists this long non-coding RNA (938 nucleotides) under Salmo salar (Atlantic salmon). RNAcentral describes it as "lncRNA (ENSSSAG00000108871.1)". Lineage: Eukaryota; Metazoa; Chordata; Actinopteri; Salmoniformes; Salmonidae. The record is from RNAcentral.